RNAcentral lists this ribosomal RNA (476 nucleotides) under uncultured bacterium. Its description in RNAcentral is "partial 16S ribosomal RNA". It matches the Rfam family "Bacterial small subunit ribosomal RNA", at positions 28 to 523 of the family's 1533-position model. The record is from RNAcentral.
GAUGAACGCUGGCGGCGUGCUUAACACAUGCAAGUCGAGCGAGUGAGUUCUUCGGAACGAUCUAGCGGCGGACGGGUGAGUAACACGUGGGCAACCUGCCUCAUAGGGGGGAAUAGCCUCCCGAAAGGGAGAUUAAUACCGCAUAAAAUUAUCGAGUGGCAUCACAUGAUGAUCAAAGGAGUAAUACGCUACGAGAUGGGCCCGCGGUGCAUUAGCUAGUUUGUGAGGUAACGGCUCACCAAGGCGACGCUGCGUAGACGAGCUGAGAGGGUGAUCGGCCACAUGGGUACUGAGACACGGCCCAGACUCCUACGGGAGGCAGCAGUGGGGAAUAUUGCACAAUGGGGGAAACCCUGAUGCAGCAACGCCGCGUGAGUGAUGAAGGUCUUCGGAUUGUAAAGCUCUGUCUUUGGGGACGAUAAUGACGGUACCCAAGGAGGGAGCCACGGCUAACUACGUGCCAGCCGCCGCAGUAA